RNAcentral lists this ribosomal RNA (779 nucleotides) under uncultured Neocallimastigales. RNAcentral's name for it is "partial large subunit ribosomal RNA". It matches the Rfam family "Eukaryotic large subunit ribosomal RNA", at positions 19 to 646 of the family's 3401-position model. The record is from RNAcentral. Lineage: Eukaryota; Fungi; Neocallimastigomycota; Neocallimastigomycetes; Neocallimastigales.
CGAGCACGCGCGUGUGGCAUAUCAAUAAGCGGAGGAAAAGAAACUAACAAGGAUUCCCUUAGUAACGGCGAGUGAAGCGGGAAGAGCUCAAAUUUGAAAUCUUCAAGGUUCUACCUUGACGAAUUGUAGUUUAAAGAAGUGUUUUCUGUUAGUGGAGUGGCAAAAGUUCUUUGGAAUAGGACAUCAUAGAGGGUGAGAAUCCCGUAUUUGGUCAUUCCUUCUAGCUUUGUGAUACACUUUCAAAGAGUCGGAUUGUUUGGGAAUGCAGUCCAAAAUGGGUGGUAAAUUUCAUCUAAAGCUAAAUAUUGGCGAGAGACCGAUAGCGAACAAGUACCGUGAGGGAAAGAUGAAAAGAACUUUGAAAAGAGAGUUAAACAGUACGUGAAAUUGUCAAAAGGGAAGCGUUUGACACCAGUGUUGUUUUUUCCGAAAAUCAAUUACGAAUGUUUUGUUUUUGAGGAGUUAUGACUUCAUCGGCUUGCUCCUUUCUUUACGAAACUUUCUUAAUGCACUUUUCGGUUAACAAGUCAACAUCAAUUUCUUUUGUUGUAAAAGGGUAUGAGGAAGGUGGCUUUCUUUUCGGAGAAAGUGUUUAUAGCCUUUUAGCUUCUACAAUCGGAGAGAUUGAGGUCUGCAGCGUAGAUCCUUCGGGGUUAGAUACAGUUAGAUGCUAAGUUAUAGCUUUUUCAUAGACAACUUGUUGACUAUGUUAAGUCUUGUAAUUUACUCGCAGAUGCUAUUUUACCUACGCUUAGGAUGUUGAUGUGAUACUGCGAGCA